UACGUAGGGUGCGAGCGUUGUCCGGAAUUAUUGGGCGUAAAGAGCUCGUAGGCGGUGUGUCACGUCGGCCGUGAAAACCUGCAGCUUAACUGUGGGCGUGCGGUCGAUACGGGCAUCACUGGAGUUCGGCAGGGGAGACUGGAAUUCCUGGUGUAGCGGUGAAAUGCGCAGAUAUCAGGAAGAACACCAAUGGCGAAAGCAGCUCUCUGGGACGGUACUGACGCUGAGACGCGAAAGCGUGGGGAGCGAACAGG
This 254-nucleotide ribosomal RNA is filed under the name uncultured bacterium. RNAcentral describes it as "partial 16S ribosomal RNA". It matches the Rfam family "Bacterial small subunit ribosomal RNA", at positions 524 to 776 of the family's 1533-position model. The record is from RNAcentral.